UACGGAGGCAGCAGUGGGGAAUAUUGGACAAUGGGCGAAAGCCUGAUCCAGCAACGCCGCGUGAGGGAUGACGGCCUUCGGGUUGUAAACCUCUUUCAGCGGGGACGAAGCGAAAGUGACGGUACCCGCAGAAGAAGGACCGGCCAACUACGUGCCAGCAGCCGCGGUAAU
This 171-nucleotide ribosomal RNA is filed under the name uncultured bacterium. RNAcentral's name for it is "partial 16S ribosomal RNA". It matches the Rfam family "Bacterial small subunit ribosomal RNA", at positions 340 to 524 of the family's 1533-position model. The record is from RNAcentral.